This 72-nucleotide transfer RNA is filed under the name Candidatus Chisholmbacteria bacterium RIFCSPHIGHO2_01_FULL_48_12. Its description in RNAcentral is "tRNA-Cys". It matches the Rfam family "tRNA". Rfam says of the family: Transfer RNA (tRNA) molecules are approximately 80 nucleotides in length. Their secondary structure includes four short double-helical elements and three loops (D, anti-codon, and T loops). The record is from RNAcentral. Lineage: Bacteria; Candidatus Chisholmiibacteriota.
GGCCGGGUGGCGAAGUGGUAACGCGGGAGUCUGCAAAACUUCUAUGCGCGGGUUCAAUUCCCGCCUCGGCCU